CUCGUAGGCGGCCAACUAAGUCAGACGUGAAAUCCCUCGGCUUAACCGGGGAACUGCGUCUGAUACUGGAUGGCUUGAGUUUGGGAGAGGGAUGCGGAAUUCCAGGUGUAGCGGUGAAAUGCGUAGAUAUCUGGAGGAACACCGGUGGCGAAGGCGGCAUCCUGGACCAAUACUGACGCUGAGGAGCGAAAGCCGAGGGGAGCAAACGGGAUUAGAUACCCCGGUAGUCCUGGCCCUAAACGAUGAAUGCUUGGUGUGACGGGUAUCGAUCCCUGUCGUGCCGAAGCUAACGCAUUAAGCAUUCCGCCUGGGGAUACGGUCGCAAGGCUAGAA
RNAcentral lists this ribosomal RNA (333 nucleotides) under uncultured bacterium. RNAcentral's name for it is "bacterial SSU rRNA". It matches the Rfam family "Bacterial small subunit ribosomal RNA", at positions 568 to 899 of the family's 1533-position model. The record is from RNAcentral.